UAAGGAAUAUUGGUCAAUGGACGCAAGUCUGAACCAGCCAUGCCGCGUGAAGGAUGAAGGUCCUCUGGAUUGUAAACUUCUUUUAUCUGGGACGAAAACGGGAUUUUUAUCUCAAUUGACGGUACCAGAGGAAUAAGCACCGGCUAACUCCGUGCCAGCAGCCGCGGUAAUACGGAGGGUGCGAGCGUUAUCCGGAUUUACUGGGUUUAACGGGUGCGUAGGUGGGCUUAUAAGUCAGUGGUGAAAUCUCCGAGCUUAACUUGGAAACUGCCGUUGAUACUAUAGCUCUUGAAUUAUCUGGAGGUAAGCGGAAUAUGUCAUGUAGCGGUGAAAUGCUUAGAUAUGACAUAGAACACCAAUUGCGAAGGCAGCUUACUACAUAUAAAUUGACGCUGAGGCACGAAAGCGUGGGGA
RNAcentral lists this ribosomal RNA (414 nucleotides) under uncultured bacterium. RNAcentral's name for it is "bacterial SSU rRNA". It matches the Rfam family "Bacterial small subunit ribosomal RNA", at positions 355 to 767 of the family's 1533-position model. The record is from RNAcentral.